RNAcentral lists this ribosomal RNA (486 nucleotides) under uncultured Pseudomonas sp. RNAcentral describes it as "bacterial SSU rRNA". It matches the Rfam family "Bacterial small subunit ribosomal RNA", at positions 894 to 1382 of the family's 1533-position model. Lineage: Bacteria; Pseudomonadati; Pseudomonadota; Gammaproteobacteria; Pseudomonadales; Pseudomonadaceae. The record is from RNAcentral.
CAGAAACUCAAAUGAAUUGACGGGGCCGCACAAGCGGUGGAGCAUGUGGUUAAUUCGAAGCAACGCGAAGAACCUUACCAGGCCUUGACAUGCAGAGAACUUUCCAGAGAUGGAUUGGUGCCUUCGGGAACUCUGACACAGGUGCUGCAUGGCUGUCGUCAGCUCGUGUCGUGAGAUGUUGGGUUAAGUCCCGUAACGAGCGCAACCCUUGUCCUUAGUUACCAGCACGUUAUGGUGGGCACUCUAAGGAGACUGCCGGUGACAAACCGGAGGAAGGUGGGGAUGACGUCAAGUCAUCAUGGCCCUUGCGGCCUGGGCUACACACGUGCUACAAUGGUCGGUACAAAGGGUUGCCAAGCCGCGAGGUGGAGCUAAUCCCAUAAAACCGAUCGUAGUCCGGAUCGCAGUCUGCAACUCGACUGCGUGAAGUCGGAAUCGCUAGUAAUCGUGAAUCAGAAUGUCACGGUGAAUACGUUCCCGGGCCUU